RNAcentral lists this ribosomal RNA (607 nucleotides) under Arthrobacter sp. EP_S_72. RNAcentral describes it as "bacterial SSU rRNA". It matches the Rfam family "Bacterial small subunit ribosomal RNA", at positions 49 to 671 of the family's 1533-position model. The record is from RNAcentral. Lineage: Bacteria; Bacillati; Actinomycetota; Actinomycetes; Micrococcales; Micrococcaceae.
UUACACAUGCAAGUCGAACGAUGAUCCCAGCUUGCUGGGGGAUUAGUGGCGAACGGGUGAGUAACACGUGAGUAACCUGCCCUUGACUCUGGGAUAAGCCUGGGAAACUGGGUCUAAUACCGGAUAUGACCGUCUGACGCAUGUCAGGUGGUGGAAAGCUUUUGUGGUUUUGGAUGGACUCGCGGCCUAUCAGCUUGUUGGUGGGGUAAUGGCCUACCAAGGCGACGACGGGUAGCCGGCCUGAGAGGGUGACCGGCCACACUGGGACUGAGACACGGCCCAGACUCCUACGGGAGGCAGCAGUGGGGAAUAUUGCACAAUGGGCGCAAGCCUGAUGCGACGACGCCGCGUGAGGGAUGACGGCCUUCGGGUUGUAAACCUCUUUCAGUAGGGAAGAAGCGAAAGUGACGGUACCUGCAGAAGAAGCGCCGGCUAACUACGUGCCAGCAGCCGCGGUAAUACGUAGGGCGCAAGCGUUAUCCGGAAUUAUUGGGCGUAAAGAGCUCGUAGGCGGUUUGUCGCGUCUGCUGUGAAAGACCGGGGCUCAACUCCGGUUCUGCAGUGGGUACGGGCAGACUAGAGUGAUGUAGGGGAGACUGGAAUUCCU